ACGAGUUUGAUCCUGGCUCAGAACGAACGCUGGCGGCAGGCUUAACACAUGCAAGUCGAGCGCCCCGCAAGGGGAGCGGCAGACGGGUGAGUAACACGUGGGAACCUACCCUUUUCUACGGAAUAACGUAUGGAAACGUGUGCUAAUACCGUAUACGCCCUUCGGGGGAAAGAUUUAUCGGAGAAGGAUGGGCCCGCGUUGGAUUAGCUAGUUGGUGGGGUAAAGGCCUACCAAGGCGACGAUCCAUAGCUGGUCUGAGAGGAUGAUCAGCCACAUUGGGACUGAGACACGGCCCAAACUCCUACGGGAGGCAGCAGUGGGGAAUAUUGGACAAUGGGCGCAAGCCUGAUCCAGCCAUGCCGCGUGAGUGAUGAAGGCCUUAGGGUUGUAAAGCUCUUUCACCGGAGAAGAUAAUGACGGUAUCCGGAGAAGAAGCCCCGGCUAACUUCGUG
This 452-nucleotide ribosomal RNA is filed under the name uncultured bacterium. RNAcentral's name for it is "bacterial SSU rRNA". It matches the Rfam family "Bacterial small subunit ribosomal RNA", at positions 1 to 507 of the family's 1533-position model. The record is from RNAcentral.